RNAcentral lists this long non-coding RNA (2018 nucleotides) under Citrus sinensis (sweet orange). RNAcentral describes it as "long non-coding RNA (CSIN_LNC004242)". The record is from RNAcentral. Lineage: Eukaryota; Viridiplantae; Streptophyta; Magnoliopsida; Sapindales; Rutaceae.
UUUAUCCCAAAGAAAAGGAAACAUAAACAACAUGUUAGGUGCAGUAAAGAAAAUAAUACUUACUGCAAGAGAAAAGAAUAAAAAAAAUAAAAAAUUGAGAGCCUUCGCAGCUGAAUUGUAAUAGCUACCACUUACAAGAUCAUUUAUCGCCUUAGUUGCAAGAUGCCAAAUGGCCCUGAAAAGAAAUACAAGAUCAUUUAUGAUCCAACUUCUUUUUCUGGAUAAAAUAUUGGACUUUUGAUUACCAACACCAAAUUUCAAAAAGAUUAUCAAGUAAACAUAUUUGCAUGAUACGCAUCAUAUAAAAUAUUCAUCACCAAAGAACAUACAAAGAGAGAAAUAAAGCAAAAAAAUUAUCAAAAAGAUCAGUUAGCAUGCCAAAUAUGUGUUGACCAGUACAUGGAAUGCUGAUCCAUCUUGCACAUGUUAGAGUUAUAAAUAGUUCCAAAAUUAAGGAAUUACAUCAAAACUCUCCUCACAAUACACAUUAUAACAUCUACUAAUCUACUGUGUUUUUCUUUUCUUUUCUUUUUUCCUUAAUAGAAUGUUGAUCUGGACUUAAUACAAAUAAAAAAAAUAGAAUUUAUAUUUAUAACAUCUUAUAGGAAAUAAACAAAAUUGUCUAUGUUAAAACAUAUGAUCUUAUUUAUGUUAGGAUCAAGCGCUUACCAUUGGGCUAAAAGCUUAAGCUGAUAGUCAAGGUGCAACUUUAUUUCCUUAUACAAUGGAAGCGCAGAACCCCACACUAAGCGGUGGAUGGACAUGAGGGACUGCACACAUUUGUAAUUGUGCCAACAGGCCGGGCAGUUACGCCUAAGGUAAUCUUACUACCACCUCAAUGAAAUUACAACAAAAUAUGUCUAUGUUAAAACAUAUUAUCUUAUUUAUACAUUUCAUCAAGCAGAAAAAAAAAUGAAAUUCCAAUUAAAAAAGAAAAAGAAAAAAUAUUAAAAAUAAAAAGUAAAAAGAGAUUGAUUUUUUUCAUAAAUGACCUUCUAAGAUGAGAUCUUUAGUGAGUCGGUGAAGAGUGAGCUCGGCUUUAAUCACUAAGCUCGAUCUUGAUCUCACACAGUUUUACUUCUCAUCUCAUGGAUACUCGUAAAGCACACCCAUAUCACUAGGAUGAGAUCUUUAGCAAGUCGAUGAAGAGUGAGCUCGGCUUUAAUUACUAAACUCGAUCUUGAUCUCACACAGUUUUACUUCUCAUCUCAUGGAUACUCCUAAAUCACACCCAUAUCCUUAACAUCCAAUUCAAUAAGCAAAGUUAUAGAAGAUAUAGUAGACACCGGCAUCAUUCCUAAAUUAUCCAUCACUAUGUAAGCUUCCACCUUUAACAGAACAUCGAUGAGCUUCUGGCAGCAUCUUGUAUCACAAAUAGAACACUAAAGACAAGAAUUUUUUUCUUUUUGUUUUCAAUACUACAUUUUAUAAAUAGAACAGAACAAUACAGAGCAUUCUAUAAAUAUAUAGAAUCCAAAGCGGUUCAAAUUAAAUAUUAAAAUAACAGAGCAUGAAUAUGACAAAAAAUAGAAAAAAACUUACCGUCUUGAAAUCUUAAGCUCCCAAGUGCCCAUGGAAAUCACUUCUCAAAAUAUUUUUGCAUUCCAUAGAUGCCACUUCAACCCUAACCAGCAACCACCAUUCAAUUAAUAAAAAAAGAAAAUUAUUCAGAUUGUUAAACACAUAAUCCCAAACAGUUAAAUAAGUAAGGAGAGGCCAAAAUUAAUAACUUUCUCCUUAAGGUCACCCAAAAUUCACACUCAAAAUUUUUAUGCAAAAUGACACCAGAUAUUAAAAGAAAAAAUGGGCUACCAGAUCAAGCAUUAGAGAGUGGAGAAUGGAAUUGAAAUUGAAGAGUGGCAAUGUGAAAAACCAGUGGAGAGUGUGGAUCAAAGAUUGAUCAACACAAAUUAGAAAAAAAAAAGUAUGGCCAAAUGUGGAGGAGGAGAAACGAGAGUUGAGAGAAGAAAAGAGUUGGAAUUGGAGAGGACAAAAAAUUAGGGCCGGCUGUGCCCUAG